This 484-nucleotide ribosomal RNA is filed under the name uncultured bacterium. Its description in RNAcentral is "partial 16S ribosomal RNA". It matches the Rfam family "Bacterial small subunit ribosomal RNA", at positions 29 to 507 of the family's 1533-position model. The record is from RNAcentral.
AUUGAACGCUGGCGGCAUGCUUUACACAUGCAAGUCGAACGGCAGCGCGGGCUUCGGCCUGGCGGCGAGUGGCGAACGGGUGAGUAAUACAUCGGAACGUGCCCAGUAGUGGGGGAUAGCUCGGCGAAAGCCGGAUUAAUACCGCAUACGACCUGAGGGUGAAAGCGGGGGUUCUUCGGACCUCGCGCUAUUGGAGCGGCCGAUGGCAGAUUAGCUAGUUGGUGGGGUAAAGGCCUACCAAGGCGACGAUCUGUAGCUGGUCUGAGAGGACGACCAGCCACACUGGGACUGAGACACGGCCCAGACUCCUACGGGAGGCAGCAGUGGGGAAUUUUGGACAAUGGGCGAAAGCCUGAUCCAGCAAUGCCGAGUGUGUGAUGAAGGCCUUCGGGUUGUAAAGCACUUUUGGCGGGAACGAAAAGGACUGUGCCAAUACCACGGUUCGAUGACGGUACCCGCAGAAUAAGCACCGGCUAACUACGUG